UACUAAGGUCCAGGCAGGCAACACCCACAGCCUUUCCUUCAUCCACUAGACAGGUCAUCUUGUCAUAGAAGAUCAGAUUCAUCAAGCAGGACCUGCCUUUCCCACACUGUCUGGGUCUAAUCCCCCAGUUGUUCUGCACAUGCCGCAUGAUGGCACUCAGGAUGAUCUGUUCUAUAACCUUCCCUGGGCUGAGGUGAGGCUGACAGGCCUGUAGUUCCUGGAUCCUCCUUCCUGCCUUUCUUGAAGAUGUGAUCCUUCUCCAGCUUUCUCUGGCCUGUCCAGCUUCAGCCAAAGCAGCUCCUGUCCACAGCCAGUCAAGAAGACCCUUGCCCAGGUGAAGACCCUUCCCCUGCACAAGCGUAGUAACAGAAAAGGAUGACACAGCGAAUAUUACAAUUCUAUGCAAAUUACUAACCAAUCAUUGUAAUUGGGAGCGUAUGACCUUGCAAUUUUGUGUAUAAAUGUAAUGGUAAAAUCUACACAGCUGUGCUUGGUUUGUGGAGAUGCCACUGAGCACCCAGUGCUACAAUAAAGGAGCGCCUGCUUCUUAAUGCUACAGUGGUGUUAAGAGGUUUGAUUCCCAAUUUUUGGUAACACUCUCACAGCCAUCUGGAGCCCCUUUUGCUCAGCUAAGUUAUCUAAAGUAUUUAAAACAUCUUCCUUGUUCUUCAGGCCUUAACCCUUUCACAGGGAGCCCAACAGCUGGAGAAAGCAGCAGUGUGGAGCGAGUGAGCGGCCCACGGACGCCGCGGGGAGGGGGGGGGGGAGUGAUGCGAGGGAAGCCCCGCGGGAGACACCCUCGAGUUUUGGAGGAGCGUGGGUAGCUCGGGUACGACUUAGGCAACGCCAGGGCCCCGGGCGGCCUGCCGGCCCAUAGAGCGCGACUUCCGGAGGAGUGAUGGGCCCUUCCGGUAUCCUGGAGGACUGCCGGCCCAUAGAGCGCGACUUCCGGAGGAGUGAUGGGCCCUUCCGGUAUCCUGGAGGACUGCCGGCCCAUAGAGAGUGACUUCCGGAGGAGUACCUGGCACUCCCGGGGGCGUCCAGAAACGGGAGCUCCUGGACGGGGAGCGCGGCGGUACCUGUUGGUGCGGCGGACGCGGGCCUCCCGGGCCUCCUCGGCCUCCCGGGCCUCCUCCUCCGUGCGGCAUGUCACUGCCUGCCGCUGCUGCUCGGUGGGUGCGAGGGGGUGUUAAUGUGAGGCGUGACCGGGGACGGGACGGGACGCGACACUACACGACGACGCCGUCGUUUGGGAAGGACAACUGGAACGCCUCGACACAUCCAGAGAGUGGACAAAUGCUAUAGUCCAGCUCGGGCAACUUGACAGUUUGGCACUUCAGCUCCAAAGUUUGAAGCUCCACAGAGAACAACCCCUCUGAGCAAGCACCGCAGCCUUUAAACAUCACCUGCUUGCCUCCAGCUCUGCUACCCCUUUUUUCUGGGAACUGCAAAUUCCUAGGGGGACGAAUACACAUGCAACAGCUGCACAACAGCAACCCGCUGGCUGCGUGGCUGUGCCACCACCACCUGCUGCACCCGGCCAUUGCUGCUAUGCCUCAGGAGCCUUCAGCUGACACAGUGCUGCCCGAACACCUACAGCCCUGUCAACCACUGGCUUUGCCAACAGCGUGUCCAACAAAACCCACAAUGCUGCUGAUGCUGUGGCGACACGGCGGAAAUGAACACUAUCUGUGGCAAGGACAGACAUAUCACACCAGGUAUGAUACAUAACACUGAAACACCGUGUCAGCUCACCUUUAUUUCAAAGGAGGAACGCACAUGCACGCACACAGCACAAAGGAUUUUAUUCUGAGACACACAGCUGUCCUGAGCAUCUCCACAACUAUCUCUUCACAGCAACAUCAUAUCCAUGAUUUGGAUUCCUCGUGGAAAACGAGGGAGCUCUGCACAUUGUGGUGGGCCCUCACCUUCCAAACCUGCACACAGGAAUAACACUCCACCCAUCAAGUGACACCAAAAACUAUAAAGCCUCUCAAAAGAAUUUAGAAUUCCACACUCACACAAACCAGUUACACUCACCUGCUUCAUGGCCCAAUCCUCCUCUGCUCUGACCAUCUGCUUCAAUUCCACACACCCUUCAACAGUCAGACCCACAAUCAUCUCCCCAUGAUCAUUCACUACACUAUAUAUGGCAGGGCAGGGAAAAAACAACAGCUGAAAGAAAAAAUUUAAAAAACCAAACAAACACUGGCUGGGUUUUAUUGUUGAGGGGUGGGGGGCGUUAAAUAAGGAAAAUGCUAUUUCAACUCUUACCUGCAAGGAAAAACAAAACCACACAUACAAGGCUAGGCACACUCAAAAACCACAGCUGACACCGCAUCCGUUCAGCUGUCUGCCCAACCUGACAAGUGCUUGCUGCCACACGUGAUGCUAGACACAUUCACAUAGGUUGCUGAACUUGUGCAGUACUACAUUCUGGAUAGGACUGAAUGACAAAGCAGAAUUAAAUCCGGUAAGAACCUUUCUCUAAAAUAUCUCUAGUUGCAAAGUGAAUACCGUAGAUCAGCAGCAAUAGUUCUAUGUCACCCAGACUCCUAGUUUUUUCCAUCUGGCUCCCUUAACAGAAAUAAGUCCCUAAAAAUGCCAGGAUGGAGGCUGGGGGGAAGGUAGCAGCAACAGAAACCAUACCAAGCACUUUAAGUAACACUUAAGCUCAAACAAAAAUAAAUGGCAGAACACCUCAGGAGGAGUGUUAAGAGAGACAAAUGAACCCGUGCAGAGCAAUGCUGAAGUCCUUCUCCUAAGAGGACUAUGCAGGUCAGAGAAGCCCCUUUGAAGGCCAGUGGUUUUGACAAGGCUACUUGUCACACAGGUUGAUUCUGGUGCCUGGAAGGAAAAUUGAGGGUAUGGAGGGCACGUGAAGGGUAUGAAGGGGUUCAGGCAGCUUAUAGCAGUGCCUGCAGUGCAGAGACAAAAGGAUGGCUGUGGGGCACGCUGACCAACAGAGGUUCUGCAGGGACUAGAGGGCAUAUGCAGGGCUCUGGAUCAUGAGAAGGCAAGCAGAGGUCUCUGGGGUGCAAGAUUCACAAAUAGGUAGGUCCCCAAGCAACAAGAAUGCUGGGCGGCAUGGAUCUGAGGGUGCAAUGAAUGUAAACAUGGGGCUCUCAGGUGCUCCAAAAGACAAGCCCAGCUGUCCUGAAGAAGAGUAGAUGAAAGUCAGAGUUCUGAAGAGAUUGAGGGCAAACAAAGGGGUCUUGAGGGGGUCAAAAACAAGACCACUGGGAUGUGCCAAAAGCAAGUGGAGAAGUUUUGAGAGGAUUUAAUGGUGCAAAAGGACAAAUGAGUAUCUUGAUACUACCAAAGAGCCUGCAGUAACGAAAAGGCAAGCAGAAUAAUCAUGGCAGUUAGAAGGAAAUGGGCUUCUGAGGGAACAAGACAGCAAAUAAAAAGAUUGUGAGAAGCCCAGAAGCAAAUGGAUGGGUCUUGAGGGGAACAAAUUGCAAGUCUUACCUCUGAGAAGUACAGUGUCCUUGAAUUUUGUUCUGCAGACAGCUGUCCUGUGGGCAUGGCAUGCAACUUUGGGAAUCCCUGCCCAAGCAGUCCUAACCUGCAACACCACGUGAGCACAACUGUUCUCGGCAAGUUGUGUGGUUUCAUAACCUAAAUGGCAAAUGUGGAAAAUGGCAAGUAUUGCUCCAGGACAGCUUUAAUGUUUUUUGCCUCUACAGAGGACAGGGAGAAAGACGCACCCCUCCUCAGCAUCUUGCCCUGCGCCUGCCACUCCUCUCCAGUCACUGCCCACCUCAAGCAUCCAGGGCAGUUGGUUCUCACCUGCAUGGUCCUUCGUGUCCUGCCCCCAGCUCCUCCUCUCUGCCCCAACCCAGGAGUCCAGGCAUCCUGACCUAGUGCUCAUCUGGGAGGACCCAACCACCAGGUCAGGCAGAGCAGAAGUCAGGGAGAAGGGGGUCCUUCCAAAGUCCUGAGGGGUCAAGGUGGCCCUGGAUGCCUGGGUCCCUCACCCAUCUUGGGACACAUGCACAUGUGAGGAAGAGGAAUAUUUACGUUAUCAGUAUGUUAAAACUACAAAAAGCUGCAAACAGGUAUGACACAAUGCAAAAAGUGGGAUGUGAGUGCAGAUAGGGGAAGGUCCCAGGGCUGGAGAAAAUGAACAAAGAAUUGAAAUAAAUAGGAACCAAAAAUCACUGAAAAGCAAGAAAAUACUCUGACUGAGAAGACAAAUAAUAAUAGUAAUAAGAGUAAUAAUGACAAUGAUGAUGUCAGUGGGGCUGCUAUGGGGCACUCAGCCAAGUAAAAUCAUACCAGCAAGCUGAGGAGGUUGGGGAAAAAAAAUACCCAUUUUAGGGUAUUUGGAGAAGGAUGAGGACAGGGCAGUGUGGACAAGACCCCCCUGGUUUGGCGGUGCUGGGGGCUCAGAGGCAGCAGGACUUCCUGGCAGCCUCUGAUUCAGGCCACUUCACUGCAUCAACCCCCCAGCCAAAACAGGCUUUGACCUCACUUGAGGUCACAACCUCUGGCCCUGCUUCCAGACAACUAGAGGGGCACAUGACAGAUUCCCACCUCCCACAGCUUCGGUCCAGAGGGGUGGUUAUGGGAGACUUCAGAGGAUUUUUUUCUUUCUUUUUUUUUCCCCUCUUCUCUUGUAAAACUAGAUGGGUUUGUCUCUUGUCACUCUGGGGGAGUCACCACAUACUGUGUUGGCCUCUCACAUUGCUACCAUUAGUGCUACCAUUAUUAUUAUUAUUAUUAUUAUUAUUCAUUAUUGUUUGUUCUUUCUCCCAAAAAAGCUUCCCCUUCCAAAAACAGGAAAAAAGAGAAGAGCAAGCAGACACUCCCCUGGACUUCUGGGCCUGAGGAGAGAUGGGCACAGUCCCCACUUGGCACCAGCCUGGGGACAAAAUGAGCCAAAUCUGGCCGUGGCUGUUGGCAAACUUGACAGGGAUGGGUUCAGUGGCACUCAGCAGUUUCUGACUGCACAGCUCCUGGACAGCCUCCUCUGCCUCCAUGUGCUUGUCAAUGCAGAUGAAGCCUACCCUCCUUGAGACACCUCUGUGCAGGGAAUCCAGGCAGCAGAACCCUGAGACUGCUGCACACACGCAGGAGCCAGGCAUCCAGGAAAUCCCCUCCACAGACCCUCCUGCAGGACCCAGCUGGAAAUCUAUAGGCAAGACAACCCCAGGCCAGGAAGAAGACAAAGCAGCAACAAAAAUCACAGAGCAGUAUAAGAACACUCCUGAAGAAACUCUGUGCUAGAUUGAAGGAUAGGCCAUGAGAAGAACCACAAUAAGCACAGAAAAGAACAGCAGCCAGAAAAAACACAACAGUGUAGCACAGGUGUCCUGCAGCAGAUAAAAGAAGGAAGGAGGGGCAGAGAGUGCUGCUCAUAAGAAAAUCGUUAGCAAGAUGGCUAACCCAAAAGACCUAGGCCAUGAAGAUCACGAUGCAGGUGGCAAAACAUGAGCCCAGACAGCCAGGCAAGACAGGUCAGCAAGUACUUCCCACCAGAGAAAGGCCAGCAGAGCUGAGAGGGCAGUCAUCAAGAGACAGAAAAACUUCAGCCUAGAUGAGCACAGUAGAGACAUCAGUACAGGCAGGUAGGAAAGCGUUAUAGUGUGCUGCCUUAGAGACCAGCCAGCAAAACAAAGGUGACCGGGGGGAAGAAUGAUGGACAGAAGAGUCUACAAACCUGGAAUGCCACAGUGCACCACUCUACACAACAGAGCACACUUGAUCUGUGCAAGGUGUGGGUUGCUUUGAAAGGAACACAAGAGGGCUUCGGGGCACACUGAAGGCCACAGAAAGCAUGGGCCCCCAUGCAAAGACAGCCUAGCAACCUGAGGCAACCAGAGCCAAGACAGCUGGCAAGAAAACUAUGGCACAAAAGCACACCACAGUAAUUGCAUGCAUGGAGAGCAUGGCAAGACAUCUGAUACAUGCAGAAGGGAUUGCUGAUUUCAGCUGGUGCUCAUGAGGUGACUGUUGUAAUGGCACAAUGAUGGAUGUAUCGUGCAUUUCAAGCAGUAGGAAUAAGGUGAGUAAGAGCUUGGAAGUCAGAACGCCCAUAGGCAAGACAGAUGAAGCCAAAUGGGUGCCAUGGAUGGCAAAGAGGAGCAAAGGAAGGCCAGAGCCAUCCUGUCAGGCUUACCCUUCCCACCUACCUCCACACGCCUCUCUCCUGUCAGGCUCCUGCCUUGCUUACCCCCAUUAUAGCUCUACAGACUCCAUCCCCAGAAGGCGCUCCCAAGAGCUGUCUUGCCCACCCACCCUCAGCUCUGCCUCCAUGGCAGCUUCUCCAAAGCCUUCCCAUCAACUGCAGCCUUCCUGUCUGCAUUCCCUGCAGUGUUCCCCCACUGCACAUCCACAGUCCCAGUGCCCAUGUCACCAAGUGUUGGACUUGUUUAGCCCCACUGAGCCUGCCGCAGCACUCACUCUCCCCUGCUGAGCCUCACUCUGUCCUCGGCACCACGUGUGCUUCUUUACUGAGAAGAGACUCUGUGACAAGGCUGCAUCAGCUCUACCAUAAGUGCUGUAACAGGAGGAGGGAAAAAAUCAGGCACAGCUUGGCGAUCUGGCCAGGAACAUAGCACAUGCCCCUGCUCCCUCCAUCCUACCUGCCUGUUCCUGUCUGCCUGGACACACACAAGACUUGACACAAAUCAGACCACAGUCACAAACUCAGCUUUUCUUAUGAAUUGUGCUUCUCUUUUGUUACAUCCUUUGUAUGAUUACAGUUCCAGCUCUGGGAGUGUUGUAUUUUGUCCCUUCCCAGGAACAAUAAUCCUGGAGUGACCAGUGAAAAUGCUGUUACCCGUUCCCCAAGAAGGAAAGGAAAAGGGUCACUUAUCACUGCUAAUAAACGAGACCUGCCUCCCA
Falco peregrinus (peregrine falcon) is the source of this 6852-nucleotide long non-coding RNA. RefSeq lists it as uncharacterized. The transcript has 4 exons. NCBI's taxonomy places the organism in Eukaryota, Metazoa, Chordata, Aves, Falconiformes, Falconidae. The record is from RefSeq and is a predicted model, not a curated record.